GAAUGUAUACAUAUAUAUGAUCAACUCUUUAAAUCCGCAUCUGGUUUUCCACAGCAGCUUCUAAAAAGGUGUAAAUAUGAAUGUAUGCCAGAACUCAGAAGCGAAAUAUUAGGUAAUGAAGUUGAUGUUCAAUGCAUGUUGUACUGUUGGAGGAGUUAAUUUGAACUUCGAAAUUCAGAGUAGGUUUGAAGAGUUGAUCAUAUAUAUGUAUACAUUC
Molecule: unclassified non-coding RNA, 217 nt
Filed under: Hevea brasiliensis (rubber tree)
Lineage: Eukaryota; Viridiplantae; Streptophyta; Magnoliopsida; Malpighiales; Euphorbiaceae
Source: RNAcentral